RNAcentral lists this ribosomal RNA (253 nucleotides) under uncultured bacterium. Its description in RNAcentral is "partial 16S ribosomal RNA". It matches the Rfam family "Bacterial small subunit ribosomal RNA", at positions 524 to 776 of the family's 1533-position model. The record is from RNAcentral.
UACGGAGGGGGCUAGCGUUGUUCGGAAUUACUGGGCGUAAAGCGCGCGUAGGCGGACCUGCAAGUCGGGGGUGAAAGCCCGAGGCUCAACCUCGGAACUGCCUUCGAUACUGCGGGUCUCGAGUCCGGAAGAGGUGAGUGGAAUUCCUAGUGUAGAGGUGAAAUUCGUAGAUAUUCGCAAGAACACCAGUGGCGAAGGCGGCUGACUGGUCCGGUUCUGACGCUGAGGCGCGAAAGCGUGGGGAGCAAACAGG